CGCUGGCGGCGUGCCUAAUACAUGCAAGUCGAACGGUCUUUCUAUGGAAGCUUGCUUCCACUGAGAAGAUAGUGGCGAACGGGUGAGUAACACGUGGGUAACCUGCCCAUAAGAGGGGGAUAACAUCCGGAAACGGGUGCUAAUACCGCAUAGUUUUUCCUGAUCACAUGAUUGAGAAAGGAAAGACGGCCUUUGUGCUGUCGCUUAUGGAUGGACCCGCGGCGUAUUAGUUAGUUGGUGAGGUAACGGCUCACCAAGACGAUGAUACGUAGCCGACCUGAGAGGGUGAUCGGCCACAUUGGGACUGAGACACGGCCCAAACUCCUACGGGAGGCAGCAGUAGGGAAUCUUCCGCAAUGGACGAAAGUCUGACGGAGCAACGCCGCGUGAGUGAAGAAAAGGUUUUCGGAUCGUAAAACUCUGUUGUCAGAGAAGAACAAGUUGGAGAGUAACUGCUCCAGCCUUGACGGUAUCUGACCAGAAAGCCACGGCUAACUACGUGCCAGCAGCCGC
RNAcentral lists this ribosomal RNA (513 nucleotides) under uncultured bacterium. Its description in RNAcentral is "bacterial SSU rRNA". It matches the Rfam family "Bacterial small subunit ribosomal RNA", at positions 34 to 518 of the family's 1533-position model. The record is from RNAcentral.